GUCUUUUUGAGUAUAAUUUAAAGUCUGACCUGCCCAAUGAAGAAUUUAAUGGCCGCAGUAUUUUGACUGUGCAAAGGUAGCAUAAUCAUUAGUUUUUUAAUUGAAAACUGGAAUGAAAGGUUGGACGAAAAAAUAACUGUCUUUUUUAUAAUGAUUUAGAAAUUUAUUAUUAGGUUAAAAAGCCUAAAUUUAUUUUAAAGACGAGAAGACCCUAUAGAGCUUUAUUAUUAACUAUAAUUUUUUUUGUUAGAAUUAUUUUAUAAAUUUAUAGUUAAUAAUUUAAUUGGGGUGAUUGAAAAAUUUAAUAAACUUUUAUUUUAUAUAUACAUUGAUUUAUGAAUGAUUGAUCCAUUAGUAAUGAUUAAAUGAUCAAGUUACCUUAGGGAUAACAGCGUAAUUUUUUUUAAGAGUUCUAAUCGAUAAAGAAGAUUGCGACCUCGAUGUUGGAUUAAAAUUAAUGUUAGGUGUAGGAGCUUAAUAAUUAGGUCUGUUCGACCUUUAAAAUUUUACA
This 511-nucleotide ribosomal RNA is filed under the name Micropolemon camerounensis. Its description in RNAcentral is "partial 16S ribosomal RNA". It matches the Rfam family "Bacterial large subunit ribosomal RNA", at positions 1819 to 2600 of the family's 2925-position model. Lineage: Eukaryota; Metazoa; Arthropoda; Insecta; Coleoptera; Staphylinidae. The record is from RNAcentral.